AUGCAUGUAAAUCCAGUUUCUACCCCAGUGCUGCUGGCCACAUGAGAAAGGAUCCUGGCCCAUCUGCUCUGAAAUGAACGAGGUGAGAGGCCGCAGCCUCCCACCCACCCCAUGAAGAUUCCAGAGGCAAUCCACACACACUAGAUCAGGCUCGCUCCUGCCCCCAGUGUCCACUAUUGGGGGUGGCUCUUUUGAUAUGAGAUAGAGAUUUUGGGUUUUCCUUUAACGAGCAUGCUUGGGUUUAGAGAAAGAGAGAGCCACGCUCCAACUCCAAAAAGCAAUUUGUAAUCUGCAAGAAGGCAAAAUAUUCUUUACUUCUUCAAACAUUUUUUCUAAGAUUUCUCUUUAAUGACAAAUAUAGCAAAGUUCCAAGGACUGGUUGAUUGUUCAAUAUAUUAAGCAUUUAUCUGCUCCUGUACAAGCUGUUCCAGUGCUUAUAAUUUUUCUGAUGUCAAAGGCCAUUGUUCCAUCCCAAUAGAUUUGUCAGUUAACCAUUUUAAAGCUCAAGGGACUGACGUGCUGGAACUUUCUUUGGGAAGUCAUAAAAAUGCACACAUAUACACAGAGAAGAAUCUGGAAGAGUGGAUCUCAAGGUGCUCGGAGUAGCUGUGAGUGGGUGGGUUCCUCAUUUUUGCCCAUGUACUUUCUGUAAUGUUCAUUUAGACAGUAAAAUUACUAGAUAAAAAAAUAAAACAAAGCUAUGAAAGAA
Long non-coding RNA from Peromyscus eremicus (cactus mouse), 709 nucleotides. RefSeq lists it as uncharacterized. Lineage: Eukaryota; Metazoa; Chordata; Mammalia; Rodentia; Cricetidae. The record is from RefSeq and is a predicted model, not a curated record. The transcript is spliced from 5 exons.